CUUGGUCAUUUAGAGGAAGUAAAAGUCGUAACAAGGUCUCCGUAGGUGAACCUGCGUAGGGAUCAUUACAAGUGACCCCGGUCUUACCACCGGGAUGUUUAUAACCCUUUGUUGUCCGACUCUGUUGCCUCCGGGGCGACCCUGCCUUCGGGCGGGGGCCCCGGGUGGACACUUCAAACUCUUGCGUAACUUUGCAGUCUGAGUAAACUUAAUUAAUAAAUUAAAACUUUUAACAACGGAUCUCUUGGUUCUGGCAUCGAUGAAGAACGCAGCGAAAUGCGAUAAGUAAUGUGAAUUGCAGAAUUCAGUGAAUCAUCGAAUCUUUGAACGCACAUUGCGCCCCCUGGUAUUCCGGGGGGCAUGCCUGUUCGAGCGUCAUUUCACCACUCAAGCCUCGCUUGGUAUUGGGCAACGCGGUCCGCCGCGUGCCUCAAGUCGACCGGCUGGGUCUUCUGUCCCCUAAGCGUUGUGGAAACUAUUCGCUAAAGGGUGUUCGGGAGGCUACGCCGUAAAACAACCCCAUUUCUAAGGUUGACCUCGGAUCAGGUAGGGAUACCCGCUGAACUUAAGCAUAUCAAUAA
This 581-nucleotide ribosomal RNA is filed under the name uncultured fungus. RNAcentral's name for it is "eukaryotic LSU rRNA". The stretch from base 225 to 378 matches the Rfam family "5.8S ribosomal RNA". The record is from RNAcentral. Lineage: Eukaryota; Fungi.